This is a long non-coding RNA of Clupea harengus (Atlantic herring), 348 nucleotides long. RefSeq lists it as uncharacterized. The record is from RefSeq and is a predicted model, not a curated record. Lineage: Eukaryota; Metazoa; Chordata; Actinopteri; Clupeiformes; Clupeidae.
AGAUUCUGACUCUGGUGACUCUGAUACAGGAUCGGCUGACGGAAGCAGACCAUCUUUCUCAACCAGCAGCAGUGGGAUGCCCAGUGACAAACCUGUCUGAACAUCAGUGGAAUGGAAAUUUUCUUCCCACAGAUGAAGCCCAAGAAUGCCCCUACAAGCUAUUGUUCUGGAUGCUCUUAAAAGCAAAUUUUACAAAUAGGUCAGAUUAUUAAAUAGCACCUGUUACAAACUAGAUAUGCCAUAAAUCUUGUUUUGGUGAUUUGGUGUCUUGAACCAAAGUCGGGGAGUUGGUUACAUGUAACAACAUUACAAAAUCAAUGUAUUUGUAAUGCGUUCCAAUUACUGAGA